RNAcentral lists this transfer RNA (39 nucleotides) under Percus reichei. RNAcentral's name for it is "partial tRNA-Leu". Lineage: Eukaryota; Metazoa; Arthropoda; Insecta; Coleoptera; Carabidae. The record is from RNAcentral.
AUUUAAGCUUCAUACAUAAAGUUAUAGCUUUUUUUAGAA